GAUGAACGCUGGCGGCGUGCCUAAUACAUGCAAGUCGAGCGAACAGACGAGGAGCUUGCUGCUCUGACGUUAGCGGAGGACGGGUGAGUAACACGUGGAUAACCUACCUAUAAGACUGGGAUAACUUCGGGAAACCGGAGCUAAUACCGGAUAAUAUAUUGAACCGCAUGGUUCAAUAGUGAAAGACGGUUUUGCUGUCACUUAUAGAUGGAUCCGCGCCGCAUUAGCUAGUUGGUAAGGUAACGGCUUACCAAGGCAACGAUGCGUAGCCGACCUGAGAGAGUGAUCGGCCACACUGGAACUGAGACACGGUCCAGACUCCUACGGGAGGCAGCAGUAGGGAAUCUUCCGCAAUGGGCGAAAGCAUGACGGAGCAACGCCGCGUGAGUGAUGAAGGUCUUCGGAUCGUAAAACUCUGUUAUUAGGGAAGAACAAAUGUGUAAGUAACUAUACACUUCUUGACGGUACCUAGUCAGAAAGCCACGGCUAACUACGUG
This 497-nucleotide ribosomal RNA is filed under the name uncultured bacterium. RNAcentral describes it as "partial 16S ribosomal RNA". It matches the Rfam family "Bacterial small subunit ribosomal RNA", at positions 28 to 507 of the family's 1533-position model. The record is from RNAcentral.